This 672-nucleotide ribosomal RNA is filed under the name Diploschistes scruposus. RNAcentral's name for it is "mitochondrial SSU rRNA". It matches the Rfam family "Bacterial small subunit ribosomal RNA", at positions 372 to 1101 of the family's 1533-position model. Lineage: Eukaryota; Fungi; Ascomycota; Lecanoromycetes; Ostropales; Graphidaceae. The record is from RNAcentral.
UGGUAAAAUGUGAUGUACCUAGUAAUAUUACUGAUUAAUAUGACGCUAACCGAGUUAGUUAAAAUUCUAAGUAUAUAUGUGAUUAUGACAAUAUGUGCUUAUUUCUUGACCAAGUCACGUGCCAGCCGUCGCGGUAAUACGUGGAAGAUCAUUGUUAUUCAUCUUUAUCAGGUUUAAAGGGUACCUAGACGGUUAAUUAAGCUUUAGUAGGAACUAAUUAACUAGAGUUUAAUGUAAGAAUGAUUGAGUACGGUGAGUGUAGAGAUAAAAUUCUGUCAUACCACUUAGGAACUGGUAAAAGCGAAGGCAACUUUCUAUGUAAAAACUGACGUUAAGGGACGAAGGCUCGUAUCAAAUAACAGGAUUAGAUACCCCAGCAUUGUGGGCAGACAAUGAUGAGUGUCAUAUGCAAGAGAUAAAAAAAAAAUAUUUUGUGUAUAAAUGAAAGUGUAAGCACUCCACCUCAAGAGUAACGUGGCAACAUGGGAACUGAAAUCAUUAGACCGUUUCUGAAACUCGUAGUGAAGUAUGUUGUUUAAUUAGAUGGUGCACAAAUAACCUUACCACAAUUUGUAUAACUAUAGUACAUAAUAAUAAUAUAGUUACAAGCGUAGCACGGCUGUCUUUAGUCUAUCUUGUGAAACUGUGGUUAGAUCCAUUAAAUCGACGUAA